AGUGAACGCUGGCGGUAGGCCUAACACAUGCAAGUCGAACGGCAGCACAGUAAGAGCUUGCUCUUACGGGUGGCGAGUGGAGGAAGGGUGAGGAAUACGUCGGAAUCUACUUUUUCGUGGGGGAUAACGUAGGGUAACUUACGCUACUACCGCAUACGACCUACGGGUGAAAGCAGGGGAUCUUCGGACCUUGCGCGAUUGAAUGAGCCGAUGUCGGAUUAGCUAGUUGGCGGGGUAAAGGCCCACCAAGGCGACGAUCCGUAGCUGGUCUGAGAGGAUGACCAGCCACACUGGAACUGAGACACGGCCCAGACUCCUACGGGAGGCAGCAGUGGGGAAUAUUGGACAAUGGGCGCAAGCCUGAUCCAGCCAUACCGCGUGGGUGAAGAAGGCCUUCGGGUUGUAAAGCCCUUUUGUUGGGAAAGAAAAGCAGCAGGUUAAUACCCCGCUGUUCUGACGGUACCCAAAGAAUAAGCACCGGCUAACUUCGUG
RNAcentral lists this ribosomal RNA (492 nucleotides) under uncultured bacterium. RNAcentral's name for it is "partial 16S ribosomal RNA". It matches the Rfam family "Bacterial small subunit ribosomal RNA", at positions 29 to 507 of the family's 1533-position model. The record is from RNAcentral.